GCCGGGUGUGGUGGUGAACACCUGUAGUCCCAGCUACUUGGGAGGCUGAGGUGGGAGGAUCACUUGAGCCCAGGAGUUUGAGGCUGCAGUGAGCUGAGAUGGUGCCAUUGCACUCCAGCCUGGACAACAGAAUGAGACCCUGUCUCAA
Molecule: non-coding RNA, 148 nt
Filed under: Gorilla gorilla gorilla (western lowland gorilla)
Lineage: Eukaryota; Metazoa; Chordata; Mammalia; Primates; Hominidae
Source: Rfam by way of RNAcentral